CUGGAUAUUAGCAAAGUUCUCUUUCCUCUUGAAUUUCAUCGCGUGCACAUGUGUUAAUUCUUCUUGAAGAUUGGUGGCCCUCGGAGACUGAAUUGACAAUGGAAAAGAUAAAAUCGAGAAUUGAAGGACGCAUUAUGAAAGUUUCCUGACUUAUUUUUGUUUAAAAAAAUUGGAAUGAAUAAAAAUGUAUCAACACAGUUACCUAACAACGUGUUAUGGAUUUCGAUAAAUCCCUCUUGAUGCAAUGCUCGCAUAAAAUGAUACUCAUGUAAACGGUAAUGGAUGUAAUGGAUUGACAUAGUAUCGCAACAUUGGGAAGGACAACCAGUCGAAAACGGUCAUUCACAUGUGAUCAUCGAGAACUUAAAAAGGCGUAUUCUUGAUUUUGGGAAAGGUGUCUUCAUAUUUGGUAUGCCCUUUACUAUGAUAGCAAUGAUGAAUUAAAGGUUUUGGAUUUCAAAAGAAAGUUAAAUAAAAUA
RNAcentral lists this long non-coding RNA (479 nucleotides) under Bactrocera tryoni. Its description in RNAcentral is "uncharacterized LOC120773865, transcript variant X2". The record is from RNAcentral. Lineage: Eukaryota; Metazoa; Arthropoda; Insecta; Diptera; Tephritidae.